Molecule: ribosomal RNA, 253 nt
Filed under: uncultured bacterium
Lineage: Bacteria
Description: partial 16S ribosomal RNA
Rfam family: Bacterial small subunit ribosomal RNA
Source: RNAcentral
UACGAAGGGGGCUAGCGUUGCUCGGAUUGACUGGGCGUAAAGGGCGCGUAGGCGGUUCGUACAGUCAGACGUGAAAUUCCUGGGCUCAACCUGGGGGCUGCAUUUGAUACGUGCGGACUUGAGUGCGGAAGAGGGUCGUGGAAUUCCCAGUGUAGAGGUGAAAUUCGUAGAUAUUGGGAAGAACACCGGUGGCGAAGGCGGCGACCUGGUCCGAUACUGACGCUGAGGCGCGAAAGCGUGGGGAGCAAACAGG